GACUGCGUACCUUUUGUAUAAUGGGUCAGCGACUUAUAUUCUGUAGCAAGGUUAACCGAAUAGGGGAGCCGAAGGGAAACCGAGUCUUAACUGGGCGUUAAGUUGCAGGGUAUAGACCCGAAACCCGGUGAUCUAGCCAUGGGCAGGUUGAAGGUUGGGUAACACUAACUGGAGGACCGAACCGACUAAUGUUGAAAAAUUAGCGGAUGACUUGUGGCUGGGGGUGAAAGGCCAAUCAAACCGGGAGAUAGCUGGUUCUCCCCGAAAGCUAUUUAGGUAGCGCCUCGUGAAUUCAUCUCCGGGGGUAGAGCACUGUUUCGGCAAGGGGGUCAUCCCGACUUACCAACCCGAUGCAAACUGCGAAUACCGGAGAAUGUUAUCACGGGAGACACACGGCGGGUGCUAACGUCCGUCGUGAAGAGGGAAACAACCCAGACCGCCAGCUAAGGUCCCAAAGUCAUGGUUAAGUGGGAAACGAUGUGGGAAGGCCCAGACAGCCAGGAUGUUGGCUUAGAAGCAGCCAUCAUUUAAAGAAAGCGUAAUAGCUCACUGGUCGAGUCGGCCUGCGCGGAAGAUGUAACGGGGCUAAACCAUGCAC
Molecule: ribosomal RNA, 598 nt
Filed under: Escherichia coli
Lineage: Bacteria; Pseudomonadati; Pseudomonadota; Gammaproteobacteria; Enterobacterales; Enterobacteriaceae
Description: partial 23S ribosomal RNA
Rfam family: Bacterial large subunit ribosomal RNA
Source: RNAcentral